AUUAGGGUGGCUGAAUUUUAGGCGUUAAAUUGUAAAUUUACUUAUGGAUAAAACAUCCUCUUAAUA
This 66-nucleotide transfer RNA is filed under the name Balala lui. RNAcentral's name for it is "tRNA-Tyr". The record is from RNAcentral. Lineage: Eukaryota; Metazoa; Arthropoda; Insecta; Hemiptera; Cicadellidae.